GCAGUCUUCGCUGACUACUUUGUCUUUAACUUGCAAUAUCCAGCAGAAGUCGCAAGCACACUUGAAUUCCUUCAGAGGUGGUGACAAUAGACCUCCAUUACAUGACUUACAGACAGAUAUCAAAAUUGAAAAUACUGUGGAAACAAAGACACCUACAUCUUGGAUACCCUUGAGGUAAGCUAAAACAUACCAAAAAUGUAUAUCAAAGUGAACUAUCCCUGUAAUGUUUCAUGUCAUGGUAAUGACCAUGUCAUAUCAGUCUUAAAUGUUAUCUGAUAAGUGUGUUUCCCUCCCUGUUUUCAGAGCCUUUUGCAGCAUCCCCAGAUGGGCAGGCAGAGAAAAAAACGUCCAAAAUGUGCAUUGUGGACUCGUUUUCUCAUUAGUUUUAAGAGAAAAUAAAAAUAUAUAUUUAAAAAAAAA
This is a non-coding RNA of Pimephales promelas (fathead minnow), 420 nucleotides long. Lineage: Eukaryota; Metazoa; Chordata; Actinopteri; Cypriniformes; Leuciscidae. The record is from RefSeq and is a predicted model, not a curated record.